GUAGUACAGGCCUCAGGAUACAAAAGGAUUGGUGGAAGACUUCCCUCUCCAAUUUGAUGACGACACAUCCUCCAGGCUUCAUCAGAAAUGGGAUUUGUUCUUCAAGCCAAAUGUCAUUAAGAGGCUAAGCGGCUCACAUCAACACCAGAGUUGCGUCGCUUGGUGCAGUCAGCAGAAAGUCCCCCAGGAAGUGAUCUUGAUGAGGCAACAACCUACGACCAAGAAAUGGCUUCCCUGUUGUUGCUGUUCUCCUUCCACCAACUCCAGGGGGGACUGAAGUCUCCAAAAAUCAGUGCAUGUUAUUAUAUUAAGGUGAUUAUAAUAAUUUGUCACGUCACCUUCUUAGCCACAUAUGUAAAUGAGGGUUGUUUAAAAAGUGGAUGGAAUUGUACCAUACCUCCUCGCUGUUGGGCGUCAGAAGAGCAAAAAUUGACGGCUUCUACACCACCAUGGAUAAGCAUCUCAUCCCAUGCAAGGCAAACCGCUCCCUCGGGGGCAUGUGAUGAACUUUUCAAAGCACAUUUUGUAUUUAAUUUGUCUUACGAUGUGGCACAUGUGAAUUUUUACACAAUCCUGCAAACAACAGUGUAUAACAUUGAUGUGGGGAAAAUGAGGGAGUCAACCAGAGUUAAAGACUUGAGAGCUUAACCAGCCAGUAGCACUCUCACCCUGUGAGUAAGAAGCUAGAACAAUGCUGACCUGUUUCAUGCAUCAGAAAAAAAUUAUCCCAGCAGUCAGCAGCUGAUUUCACAUUUAAGAGUUGAACAUGGUUACUAUCCUGGACCCAAGUUCAAAUUGUUUUGUUCUCAGCAAGGCUGUAGGCAUUAGUUCCUAACAUAAGCAGGUUUUUGGAAGCACCUUAGUGUUCAUAGCAAUGUUCAGAAAAUUGCUCAAACUUCAACUGUUGCAUGUUUAUCUAGUGAGCCAGUUGCAACUACAUCUCAGGUACAUGCUUCGGAGGACCAAUUUUAUCCACAAAAAUCAAUGUAGCUCUUCCAGUGUUUCUUCUGAGAGCAAUGCUUCAGGACUUACUAAAGAUCCAACUAAAGAUUAUGCUUAUCACUGGGAAACCUUCACCCUCAAACAAAAUGAGUUUGGGCCAAUUAAAUCUUUUCUCUUCAGAGAUGAGAAUGUGGUCAACAAUGAAAUGUUUGAAACCAUCUUGUCAAAAGAUGUUUUCUCAACUAGUUGGGUUAAAGUUGAUAGUGUAGACUAUAAAGCUGGACUAGUUAUUUGCAGUGCAAUGGAAGAAGACAUGCCAGUUUUUUGUCAAAUAAGUGAUGUACUUUUGCUAUUUACAGAGAAUUUUGAUUACCAUCAUCAUGCAUUCAGAGUAUUACAAAGUGCGGAAAGAUGUCUACUAAAAAUGUCUAGGCUUAAAUUUCAUAAACCGUUUGAUAAUCA
Perca fluviatilis (European perch) is the source of this 1404-nucleotide long non-coding RNA. RefSeq lists it as uncharacterized. The record is from RefSeq and is a predicted model, not a curated record. Lineage: Eukaryota; Metazoa; Chordata; Actinopteri; Perciformes; Percidae. The transcript is spliced from 3 exons.